GGGCGCGUAACUCAGCGGCUAGAGUGCCAUCUUCACACGGUGGAAGUCGGAGGUUCGAUUCCUCCCGCGCCCA
This 73-nucleotide transfer RNA is filed under the name Acidobacteriota bacterium. RNAcentral's name for it is "Acidobacteria bacterium (sponge metagenome) tRNA-Val". It matches the Rfam family "tRNA". Rfam says of the family: Transfer RNA (tRNA) molecules are approximately 80 nucleotides in length. Their secondary structure includes four short double-helical elements and three loops (D, anti-codon, and T loops). Further hydrogen bonds mediate the characteristic L-shaped molecular structure. tRNAs have two regions of fundamental functional importance: the anti-codon, which is responsible for specific mRNA codon recognition, and the 3' end, to which the tRNAs corresponding amino acid is attached (by aminoacyl-tRNA synthetases). tRNAs cope with the degeneracy of the genetic code in two manners: having more than one tRNA (with a specific anti-codon) for a particular amino acid; and 'wobble' base-pairing, i.e. permitting non-standard base-pairing at the 3rd anti-codon position. The record is from RNAcentral. Lineage: Bacteria; Pseudomonadati; Acidobacteriota.